UACGGGGGGGGCAAGCGUUGUUCGGAAUUACUGGGCGUAAAGGGCUCGUAGGCGGCCAACUAAGUCAGACGUGAAAUCCCUAGGCUCAACCUAGGAACUGCGUCUGAUACUGGAUGGCUUGAAUCCGGGAGAGGGAUGUGGAAUUCCAGGUGUAGCGGUGAAAUGCGUAGAUAUCUGGAGGAACAUCGGUGGCGAAGGCGGCAUCCUGGACCGGUAUUGACGCUGAGGCGCGAAAGCCAGGGGAGCAAACGGG
Molecule: ribosomal RNA, 253 nt
Filed under: uncultured bacterium
Lineage: Bacteria
Description: partial 16S ribosomal RNA
Rfam family: Bacterial small subunit ribosomal RNA
Source: RNAcentral